This 856-nucleotide ribosomal RNA is filed under the name uncultured bacterium. RNAcentral describes it as "bacterial SSU rRNA". It matches the Rfam family "Bacterial small subunit ribosomal RNA", at positions 11 to 880 of the family's 1533-position model. The record is from RNAcentral.
GUUUGAUCCUGGCUCAGGACGAACGCUGGCGGCGCGCCUAACACAUGCAAGUCGAACGAGCGAGAGAGAGCUUGCUUUCUCGAGCGAGUGGCGAACGGGUGAGUAACGCGUGAGGAACCUGCCUCAAAGAGGGGGACAACAGUUGGAAACGACUGCUAAUACCGCAUAAGCCCACGGGUCGGCAUCGACCAGAGGGAAAAGGAGCAAUCCGCUUUGAGAUGGCCUCGCGUCCGAUUAGCUGGUUGGUGAGGUAACGGCCCACCAAGGCAACGAUCGGUAGCCGGACUGAGAGGUUGAACGGCCACAUUGGGACUGAGACACGGCCCAGACUCCUACGGGAGGCAGCAGUGGGGAAUAUUGCACAAUGGGGGAAACCCUGAUGCAGCGACGCCGCGUGGAGGAAGAAGGUCUUCGGAUUGUAAACUCCUGUUGUUGAGGAAGAUAAUGACGGUACUCAACAAGGAAGUGACGGCUAACUACGUGCCAGCAGCCGCGGUAAAACGUAGGUCACAAGCGUUGUCCGGAAUUACUGGGUGUAAAGGGAGCGCAGGCGGGAAGACAAGUUGGAAGUGAAAUCUAUGGGCUCAACCCAUAAACUGCUUUCAAAACUGUUUUUCUUGAGUAGUGCAGAGGUAGGCGGAAUUCCCGGUGUAGCGGUGGAAUGCGUAGAUAUCGGGAGGAACACCAGUGGCGAAGGCGGCCUACUGGGCACCAACUGACGCUGAGGCUCGAAAGUGUGGGUAGCAAACAGGAUUAGAUACCCUGGUAGUCCACACCGUAAACGAUGAUUACUAGGUGUUGGAGGAUUGACCCCUUCAGUGCCGCAGUUCACACAAUAAGUAAUCCACCUGGGGAG